CCUACGGGUGGCAGCAGUGGGGAAUAUUGGGCAAUGGGCGGAAGCCUGACCCAGCAACGCCGCGUGAAGGAAGAAGGCUUUCGGGUUGUAAACUUCUUUUGUCAGGGACGAAGCAAGUGACGGUACCUGACGACCAAGCCACGUCUAACUACGUGCCAGCAGCCGCCGUAAUACGUGGGAGGCGAGCGUUCACCGGAUUUACUGGGUGUAAAGGUCGUGUAGGCGGGACUGCAAGUCAGAUGUGAAAACCACGGGGUCAACCUGUGGCCUGCAUUUGAAACUGGAGUUCUUGAGUACUGGAGAGGCAGACGGAAUUCCUAGUGUAGCGGUGAAAUGCGUAGAUAUUAGGAGGAACACCAGUGGCGAAGGCGACUAUCUGGCACUUAACUGACGCUGAGGUGCGAAAGCGUGGGUAGCAAACAGGAUUAGAUACCCUUGUAGUC
RNAcentral lists this ribosomal RNA (443 nucleotides) under uncultured bacterium. RNAcentral describes it as "partial 16S ribosomal RNA". It matches the Rfam family "Bacterial small subunit ribosomal RNA", at positions 338 to 795 of the family's 1533-position model. The record is from RNAcentral.